Molecule: ribosomal RNA, 2460 nt
Filed under: Salmonella enterica subsp. enterica serovar Corvallis
Lineage: Bacteria; Pseudomonadati; Pseudomonadota; Gammaproteobacteria; Enterobacterales; Enterobacteriaceae
Description: partial 23S ribosomal RNA
Rfam family: Bacterial large subunit ribosomal RNA
Source: RNAcentral
CAGGUUUACCUGUGUGACUGCGUACCUUUUGUAUAAUGGGUCAGCGACUUAUAUUCUGUAGCAAGGUUAACCGAAUAGGGGAGCCGGAGGGAAACCGAGUCUUAAUUGGGCGUUAAGUUGCAGGGUAUAGACCCGAAACCCGGUGAUCUAGCCAUGGGCAGGUUGAAGGUUGGGUAACACUAACUGGAGGACCGAACCGACUAAUGUUGAAAAAUUAGCGGAUGACCUGUGGCUGGGGGUGAAAGGCCAAUCAAACCGGGAGAUAGCUGGUUCUCCCCGAAAGCUAUUUAGGUAGCGCCUCGUGAAUUCAUCUCCGGGGGUAGAGCACUGUUUCGGCUAGGGGGCCAUCCCGGCUUACCAACCCGAUGCAAACUGCGAAUACCGGAGAAUGUUAUCACGGGAGACACACGGCGGGUGCUAACGUCCGUCGUGAAGAGGGAAACAACCCAGACCGCCAGCUAAGGUCCCAAAGUCAUGGUUAAGUGGGAAACGAUGUGGGAAGGCCCAGACAGCCAGGAUGUUGGCUUAGAAGCAGCCAUCAUUUAAAGAAAGCGUAAUAGCUCACUGGUCGAGUCGGCCUGCGCGGAAGAUGUAACGGGGCUAAACCAUGCACCGAAGCUGCGGCAGCGAACGUAUCACUUAAAGCGAUUCAGCGGGUUACGAUUGACGGAGCGAAGCGACGUCAAAGCGUAUACAAAGUCGAGUCGGUUUAAGGAUACGUUCGUUGGGUAGGGGAGCGUUCUGUAAGCCUGUGAAGGUGGCCUGUGAGGGUUGCUGGAGGUAUCAGAAGUGCGAAUGCUGACAUAAGUAACGAUAAAGCGGGUGAAAAGCCCGCUCGCCGGAAGACCAAGGGUUCCUGUCCAACGUUAAUCGGGGCAGGGUGAGUCGACCCCUAAGGCGAGGCCGAAAGGCGUAGUCGAUGGGAAACGGGUUAAUAUUCCCGUACUUGGUGUUACUGCGAAGGGGGGACGGAGAAGGCUAUGUUGGCCGGGCGACGGUUGUCCCGGUUUAAGCGUGUAGGUGUGUGUUCCAGGUAAAUCCGGUUCACUUUAACACUGAGGCGUGACGACGAGGCACUACGGUGCUGAAGCAACAAAUGCCCUGCUUCCAGGAAAAGCCUCUAAGCAUCAGGUAACAUCAAAUCGUACCCCAAACCGACACAGGUGGUCAGGUAGAGAAUACCAAGGCGCUUGAGAGAACUCGGGUGAAGGAACUAGGCAAAAUGGUGCCGUAACUUCGGGAGAAGGCACGCUGACACGUAGGUGAAGUGAUUUACUCACGGAGCUGAAGUCAGUCGAAGAUACCAGCUGGCUGCAACUGUUUAUUAAAAACACAGCACUGUGCAAACACGAAAGUGGACGUAUACGGUGUGACGCCUGCCCGGUGCCGGAAGGUUAAUUGAUGGGGUCAGCGCAAGCGAAGCUCCUGAUCGAAGCCCCGGUAAACGGCGGCCGUAACUAUAACGGUCCUAAGGUAGCGAAAUUCCUUGUCGGGUAAGUUCCGACCUGCACGAAUGGCGUAAUGAUGGCCAGGCUGUCUCCACCCGAGACUCAGUGAAAUUGAACUCGCUGUGAAGAUGCAGUGUACCCGCGGCAAGACGGAAAGACCCCGUGAACCUUUACUAUAGCUUGACACUGAACAUUGAGCCUUGAUGUGUAGGAUAGGUGGGAGGCUUUGAAGUGUGGACGCCAGUCUGCAUGGAGCCGACCUUGAAAUACCACCCUUUAAUGUUUGAUGUUCUAACGUGGACCCGUAAUCCGGGUUGCGGACAGUGUCUGGUGGGUAGUUUGACUGGGGCGGUCUCCUCCUAAAGAGUAACGGAGGAGCACGAAGGUUGGCUAAUCCUGGUCGGACAUCAGGAGGUUAGUGCAAUGGCAUAAGCCAGCUUGACUGCGAGCGUGACGGCGCGAGCAGGUGCGAAAGCAGGUCAUAGUGAUCCGGUGGUUCUGAAUGGAAGGGCCAUCGCUCAACGGAUAAAAGGUACUCCGGGGAUAACAGGCUGAUACCGCCCAAGAGUUCAUAUCGACGGCGGUGUUUGGCACCUCGAUGUCGGCUCAUCACAUCCUGGGGCUGAAGUAGGUCCCAAGGGUAUGGCUGUUCGCCAUUUAAAGUGGUACGCGAGCUGGGUUUAGAACGUCGUGAGACAGUUCGGUCCCUAUCUGCCGUGGGCGCUGGAGAACUGAGGGGGGCUGCUCCUAGUACGAGAGGACCGGAGUGGACGCAUCACUGGUGUUCGGGUUGUCAUGCCAAUGGCACUGCCCGGUAGCUAAAUGCGGAAGAGAUAAGUGCUGAAAGCAUCUAAGCACGAAACUUGCCCCGAGAUGAGUUCUCCCUGAGACUUUAGGUCUCCUGAAGGAACGUUGAAGACGACGACGUUGAUAGGCCGGGUGUGUAAGCGCAGCGAUGCGUUGAGCUAACCGGUACUAAUGAACCGUGAGGCUUAACCUUACAACGCCGAAG